GAUGAACGCUGGCGGCGUGCCUAAUACAUGCAAGUCGAGCGAACAGACGAGGAGCUUGCUCCUCUGACGUUAGCGGCGGACGGGUGAGUAACACGUGUAUACCCUACCUAUAAGACUGGGAUAACUUCGGGACACCGGAGCUAAUACCGGAUAAUAUAUUGCACCGCAUGGUUCAAUAGUGAAAGUCGGUGUUGCUGUCUCUAAUCGAUGGAUCCGCGCCGCAUUAGCUAGUUGGUGAGGUAACGGCUUACCAAGGCGACGAUGCGUAGCCGACGUGAGAGAGUGAUCGGCGACACUGGAACGGAGACACGGUCCAGACUCCUACGGGAGGCAGCAGUAGGGAAUCUUCCGCAAUGGGCGAAAGCCUGACAGAGCAACGCCGCGUGAGUGAUGAAGGUGUUCGGAUCGUAAAACUCUGUUAUUAGGUAAGAACAAAUGUGUAAGUAACUAUGCACGUCUUGACGGUACCUAGUCAGAAAGCCACGGCUAACUACGUG
This 497-nucleotide ribosomal RNA is filed under the name uncultured bacterium. Its description in RNAcentral is "partial 16S ribosomal RNA". It matches the Rfam family "Bacterial small subunit ribosomal RNA", at positions 28 to 507 of the family's 1533-position model. The record is from RNAcentral.